AAUGUAACUAAAGAUAGACAGCCUGUCACUAGACAAUGUCAAUCAGUAAGAGGUAAUGAGAUUAGGAGAGUGUCUAGACCACAAGGGUAUACAAUCAAGAACCCUUCUAACCAAGGGAUCAACUGCAAACUUGAAGGUGGCUCAAUGUAUUCCUUGAAAAGGAAGACUGAGGUCAUCUCCAUCUCAGUGCACCUCUUGAUGUAGUUUGAUACUGGCCUCAGUCCUGUUAUCAGGACCCCCUUGGAGACCAGUUUAUGUGACCUGAAGUGGCUACAUUCGUCAAGGUGGCGUUUGGUGCACAUGCCCCCUUGCCCACUCGAUAUGCUACUGUAAUACAAAAGGCUGGUGCAAUAAGGUUUGUUGCUUUUAUUACAUGAUGCUGUGCAGGUCUUCUUGAACUCUACCCCUUCCCCAGACAGUAAGUAAUUAGUGUACCACUCUGCAAAGACUUCAAUAAAGUGUUAAAUCAUCAUGCAAUACCAAUAAAUAUGUCAUUUUUGGUGGGUGUGAUUGAAUGAAAUCAGACCCUCAAUGUAUUUAAGUGUAUUUAUCUCAUAAUUUAGGCCAUUUUUCAAUUGUAGGCCAAAUAUGGUCUGUGAAAUAAGAACGAUAUGGCAUUUUAAAGUUUUGGUUAUAUAGUGGUAAAACUUUGGUUAAAUGUAUAUUCACAAAACAGUGAUGUAUAAACACUGGUCGUUAUGUAAAUGAGGGAGCUGAUGAUGUCACAAUCAUAUUUCCUUUGUAUUUUGUUAUAUGAAAUACAUCAACUCAUUGUUCAUUUUUCCUCAUUUUAAUGUAAACAAUGUUUCAAUUUUCAUGAGCAUAUGUAAUUGUCAUUAUUGUAUUUUUUAAAACAAAAAAUGAGAUCUUGUAUAUAUUAAGAACAUGGGGAGUGCGACACCUCUUAGUUUGCUUAACCUGUGUUGUGCAUAACCCAGUGCUUUGUGAAAAUAGGUGAAACUUUGAAAAGUCAUAAUAUUUCUAUUUUACAUCCUGUUUUACAUCCAGCUUUUUUUCUCAAAUUUUUAAAGUAAUUUUCAUAUUUUUCUCUAGUUUCAUAGAAAUCAACUUGUUUUGGGUGACUUGACCAGUACUUACCUUUUAAAAAUCGAAUGAGACCAGCAUGGUUUUUUUUUUUAAUAGUUAAAAGGUGGUGUUAAGAUACUUAAAGGGUUCGUUAAGCCGGCCCCAACAUAACUUUGAUUGGAAUCAAUAGAGAAAAAUCAAACAAGCAUUAUACUUCAAAUUUCAUCAAAAUUGGAUGUAAAAUAUAGAAAUUACUGUAUGACAUUAAAUGAUGCCACUUACUAUUUCCCAAGUUUUAAGGAUUUGACAAUAGGUGAGCUCUUCAUAAAAUCUCAUUAGAUUAAAAAAAAUGCAAUUACACAUGAUCAGGGAGAAGUUAAACUUGUUUCACUUUAUUAUGAGUUAAAAAUUUCAUAUUUCAUAUUAAAAAAUGCAAAAAAAGGAACAGUGAGUAUGUGACAUCAUUGGUUUUAUGUUGGCAUAAUGACCUGGAUGUUGAUAUUGUUUUCUAAAACUAAGUGAAACUUAAGAAUUUCAUUUUGAAUUUUUUUUUUUUUCUAUGCUUAUUCAAUUUAAAGUUUUGUUAUGGUGGACUCGGCCUUUCUGAUGUGCUGUUGAAUGUGCUACAGUAGUUGAUCCUAUUUUUAAGCCUCUGUACAGAUGAAGUCUGGAUUGACUGAUUGACCUGUCUGUAAAUCCUCAAAUUUUGCCUCCAAAUUUAUUAUUCAAAAGAUAAUAGGGCCUACAUGGAUUUUUCAUAUUUAUGGUUGAUAGGUAGAACUCACUUAUAUAAACACACCAGGGUAGAAUUUUGAGACCGUAUUUAUAUGAUUAUGAAUAUAAAUUUUUUAUUGUGAAAUUUCACUAUUGAUAAGUAAUAAUUAUAAAACCUUGAUAUUGUCAUAUAAAAUUUGAUGAAAAUUUAAAAUGAGCUUGAAUAUUUCAAGUUGUUUAUAGAAAUCCUUGAUAUAUUCAAGGUUGUAUAAAGUCUCAAUAGUUUUUAUGUUGACUGUAAUGAGAAAACAGCAAUAUGGCUAUCUUUGAAAAGUCUUGAAAAUAUUUUGUAGAAAGAUUAACAAUCAUCUUCCAGAAAAAGAAGUGGUAUUAUUUCAUGUUCCAGUGGUAAUGAGCUCAGAUUAUUUUAAUGAAGUUCAUCUGUUUUACACUUUGGCAGACUUCAUAUUGUUAUUUUAUCUUACCACAAUUUCUUUAAAUUUCUUUAAGAAAAAAAAUAGUAAUAAUGAUCUGAUUGAAAAAAAAAUAUAUAAAGAAAUGUGUGAUUUUUCCCUAUUCUGUGUAUAUGGGUCAUAGUUGGACUUCACAACCUAACAGAUUUUUUAAGAAAGAAUUUUGUUUAGGUUAUACUGCUGAAUAUAAGAUGCUCCUGAUUGUAAUAGGUCUACUUUUAAAAAGCAUUUUUUUGUUAGGCUGUACUACCUGAAGUUUCAAUAUUAUGAACUAGCAGUUAUUACUUAAGUAAUUGUUAAAGUUAUUUUUAAUAUUUUAUGUUUUCUCAUAUUCAAUCAAUUUAUUAUCAUAAUUAGGCAAUACGUUUAUGUUUGUAAAUGUCAUCAAGUUGUUUAGUUAUAAAGUAUUUUGACCAUUCUUUCUUGAGGUAGGGUGAAAGAAUUGGAACAAUUCUUGUUUUCUUACAACUUGCUGAGUAAGAAAAGUUGAAAAGGUUAAUUCAUGUGCACAGAUUUUGUUUGUCCAAUAUAUCAUGGAGCUUACAAAUUUCUGCAACAAUAAGCAUAGAAACUCAACAACUUUAUGUGCACAAGCAGUUUUUUUUUCUCUGACUGAUAAAUCAGCUGAGAGAAGAAUAAAAAAGUUUGAUAAAACUCCUUGAUAUAGCAGAAAUGUUAUCUCAACAUAUACUGUGUAUGCAUUGAGGUGUCUGAUUUUCAUGGUUGGAGUCUGUGGUAGUAAGAGAGAAACACAUGGGCUAGCUGCCUCAACCAGCUGGACUGCUCAACUUCCACUGUGAUUGGCUGAAUGAGUGACCCUGUGUCAUAUAUCCCAUAAUAAGGGGAUAUAAAGCUCUCCUGCCAUUCAGUGCAAAGUGAGAACCCUGAGCCAGGAAAAGUUAGUUUGGCAGUAGUCUCCACUUUACUAGUACUGAAUUUGGGGUCCCACAAAGAUUGUACCACAAUGUAUAGCUUUGUGGACCUCGCUAUCUGCCACAGGCGGAGAAUCCUUCUGACGUUAUUUGUAUUAUUUGCUGUACAGUCAUUUUCAAAUGGACAAGGUAAGUAGGGAAUACAUUUCCUACUGCUAGUUUUUGAAUGUUUUCUUUUUUUUAAUUUGCUCACCUUGUUUUUUACUUCUCAUUCUUAAAAAAAAAGUGAUAUGUUUUUGUGUUUACAUGUCUUGUACAGUGAAGUGGGACCACUCAUGCAUGAUGGUCUUGCAGGCUUGCUUGUGUUUUAAAACAUUGACCGUCUUCUUCUCUCAUCUCAUAAUACCUGAGGAAGAAGCUUCUCCUUAAGCUUUUUCUAUCAAAAUUUGCAGGAAGGAUGUUUCUUUUACUGCAUUAUUUGAGCUCUAUUACUGGCUCUGUUCUCAAUAUUUAUCUAUAGACUUUUUAAAAUAGUUAUGGUGCUGUCCAACGUUGCACCGCUGCCCUCAAUGAUAAUAUAUAUUUUAUUACUAUAUUUUUUGUCUUUCCAGUUGAGAAGUUGUUAGUUUAGUCAGCCUUGGCAAAGCUAUCUUUGAAUUUGAUCAGUUGAGCCCCCUUAAUUAAAAAUACUCUGUUUAUCAAUGGGUAUGAGUUUACACAACAACUGUUUUAUUUAUUUAUAUUGUUUCUUUUGGUUCCUUUUUAAGUUUUAUAUGUUUAUAUUCCAACAAUUAACAACAUUAGGUUUAGGAUAAAGCCAUCAUUAGUCUCAAAUAGUUCCUGACAACAAUUUUCAAAUGUUUUACCUUGGAAUUUGACAGGGGUGAACAUAUUACAAGAGUGGAUACGGUACCCCGAUAGCUCUGAUAUGUUUGUAUUCAAUGCCGGUGUGUCCCAUUUGGCAUCCGACUCCUUGCUGCGUCUAGCAUGUCUAGGCUGGGCUGUGACCCUUUCCUAGCAUUGUAUAUCACUCAUUCCAUGAUAAUGGAUGAAUCAAUCUACAAUCCAGACGUUGCUGACAGGCAUGACAGUUUUGGAAAAAAAUAUCACACUCCCUAAACCUGAAUGUGCUGUUUGUAACUAAAUGUGUCUCUCUAUUGUUGGUCUACAUCGAGAAUAUUUUUCAAAGAAACUAACUUAAUAUUGGAAAGGAAGUUGCAUUAUAUUCUCCAACUUCCCUUGUUCCAUGCAUCUAAAAAUUCUAAAUGAUAAUUUCUUCAUUUGAUGGUCUGCAUUAUGUGAAUCUAUUAGAAUUUUAUUCUCAAUAUUUGUAGGGAUUAUUGUCAAAUUACUGUGGAUGAGCAUCAUUUCAUCUGUUCAUAAUUAUUUAGGCCUAUAUCCAAAUAAAAGGAUAUUCUAAACAAAAUAUCUUUAUGCUGAGCUUAGCAACUAGGCAUAUUUUGUGGGGAAAUUUUUCUUCCGACAAAAUUGAAUGAAAUUGGUCCAGACAAUAAUUUGAAAAGUUUAGAUCCAUAUCAGCUAGCUUCCCGAAAUUGUAUCAAUUAUUCAUAUAUGACAAAAAAAGUGGACACCUGUAAAAAAAAGAGAUAUUGAUUACUAGUACUAAUUACCUGCAGGAUACACUAAACUUAUCUACUUCCUUUUGGUAUAAAUUUAUCAGUUCAGUGAGUAAUAUACUUCCUGAGUAGGACCUGUGCUAGAAAAAAAAUUUGAUUGGAAAGUUUUGUGUAGCUUGAUUUCAAUCAUCAUGAUCAAUAUGACAUUAGAAUGAUGGAGAAGUAUAAAAUUGUCAAAACAGUUAUGUCAUGAAAGGAUAGGCCUAUGAGAUGAUUCUUUGGAAAGUUUGGGUUCUUCCCAAAAUGAAGUAUAUCCAUCAAGUUUGUCCAACAACCACAAAUUUACAUUCAGCAACAUUAGUAGUCUACAGGAUAAGAUUCAGGAAAUGGUCACCUGAUAAAAUUUCUGCCUGCGUGUGUCUUUUGUCUUUUAUCUCUUUAUGCCUAGACCAGCAAUAUUUCCACCUCCUCAAAAAAGUAAUCCCUUCAGCUUUUCAGCCCUUGGGAGCCACUGGGUCAUACAUAUUGCUGCAGUUGCAGUUUCGUGGAGGAGGGGCGGUCCUAUUCUCUCUCAUUUCCUGCCUGUAUCACUGGCCAUGUCUAUGCCCUUGGCGCAGCCAGACAAUCGGCCUCAUAGGGAAAUGAUAUCUGCACAUGUGCAGUUUGUGUAUUCUCACCAUCAACAGUUUUCUAUCCUCCCCUUUUUUAUGCUAAGGUAGGCUAGUUCAUAUUGUUGCAUCUUUCAACCCAGCACAAACUCAGCAUCAUUGCGGUGCACCCCAACCGAUUUGCUGACUGAGUUAUUUCUCAGUGGUGGGAUGCAGGGCUGUGGUUGGUCGAUUGCUAACCCACUUUUAUUGUUACCUGACUGUAUCUGACCUUGCCUUGAAUUCUCAACUUAAUUUCCGCGAGGAGGCAUAAUUUUUACUUUCUCACUGAAAUAUUAUUUUAGUGUCCUUUAUAUUAUUGGGUAUUUCAGAUAUAUGGGAUGCUUUCACGAUUUCAUUGACAGCUAGAUACAAUUUUUUUUGUUAUUGAUUUAGACAAAGAAAAAUCAUGAGGGCUAUUCUUUUUGCUUUUAGUUGCUAUUA
This is a long non-coding RNA of Lytechinus pictus (painted urchin), 5753 nucleotides long. RefSeq lists it as uncharacterized. Lineage: Eukaryota; Metazoa; Echinodermata; Echinoidea; Temnopleuroida; Toxopneustidae. The record is from RefSeq and is a predicted model, not a curated record. The transcript has 4 exons.